Molecule: long non-coding RNA, 550 nt
Filed under: Cricetulus griseus (Chinese hamster)
Lineage: Eukaryota; Metazoa; Chordata; Mammalia; Rodentia; Cricetidae
Description: lncRNA (ENSCGRG00000026105.1)
Source: RNAcentral
UGUGUUACAGUCUUCAAUCUAGGGCUCUUGGCAGAGGAAAAGAAGAGAGACUGAAUUCCAGGAUGCUUCUACUUAGUGUCAGUAUGCAUCACUUCCAUGUGCAUCCUAUUGAUAUAAGCAAAUCAAACAACUAAAAAGAUGCUUACAAACACAAUACACAGUAUCAAGUUUCUGUAGGGAGAAGAGGAAGCAAAUUUAAUCCUCCAAAGAACAUUUAAAUUAAGAUGAAAUUAAAACCUUUUUGUUCUCCCCCCUUCAGAAACUUCUUUCAGAAGAGCAGAGAGUAGACUAUGUCCAAGUGGAUGAGCAGAAGACACAAGCUCUCCAGAGCACCAAGCAGGAGUGGACCGAUGAGAGGCAAUCCAAAGUGUGAGAGAGCACUUACAGAUAGAAGAUAUAACUGAACUGAGAAAUUAACAGAUCCAGCUCUGCCACUUCAGCCUUGCUACUGUGUCUUAUAUAUGAAGAUGGAUCAAAUACGCAGCCAGCUCUAUGAGGAUCAGUGUAGCCAGAGAAGAUGUAGGCUUUGUCAUUGGGUGUCAACAUUUCA